CGUAGGUGAACCUGCGGAAGGAUCAUUAUUGGAUUUUGAAACUUCAGGCUGCUGCUGGCUCUCCUCGGAGGGCAUGUGCACGCUUGUUGUCCAUUAUUUCUCCCACUGUGCACAAAUUGUAGACCUUUCAGUAGGCCUAUGUUGUUUUUCACAAUCUCUGAAUGUAAUAGAAUGGUUUUGAAUCUUGGGAGAUACAAUACAACUUUCAGCAACGGAUCUCUUGGCUCUC
This 229-nucleotide unclassified non-coding RNA is filed under the name plant metagenome. Its description in RNAcentral is "partial contains small subunit ribosomal RNA, internal transcribed spacer 1, and 5.8S ribosomal RNA". The record is from RNAcentral.